AUAUUGAUAAAUAUGAAUAUCCAGAAAAGCUGUAUAUUAUGUUAUAAAAUCUAUUUCUGAUUGAAAAACUACAGAACUAUUUUGGUAAUCACGUCGCGCAGGAAUAAAUUUGUGUUUGGGUAUAAAUACCAAAUGUCGUGAUAAACAGUAUUUACGCAGCAAAGACGAACGAGAAUGGUUGAGAAACGCUACAGUCGAAUUCUUCAAGUUCAAGUUGAUAACAUGGACAGGCAAGAACAUCACAUAAGUUGUACAUGGUAUAUAGUACUAGCUACAUGAUAGAAAUGAUGAGGAUUAAAUCAGAUGUGAUGCACAUGGGAUAAAUCAUGGGCUAAACCCAGACCCUGAACCUUUCUGAAUCCUAGAUGGCUUUUUGAAGGAAAUGGUUGACAAUGAUGUUGCAUUGUCUUGAGGGUUUUAGUUGCAUGGGGAAUGUCGACUUCUGGAAAUAUGUGGACCCUAGUGUUUGUUGUCCGGAGGAAGAUACUAAGGCAUUGAAGUGAUAGAAAAUCUGUUGGUUAUAGAAUAGAAGAGGGGCAUUGAAGAUAAAUAAGUGGGCAGUUUUAUCAUCUUUAAAUAGAUUUUCAUUGAGAUAGUUUCAAUUUUGCCAUAGAUAAUUGAAAAAGUUUCAGGUUCAAAAGGACAGUACCAUAUACUUGCAGCAAAUAAUUGUUUCUUGUGCAUUAUCCCCAUAUGCAUUUAGAUCCCUGAUGUCUGACGUCCUGCCUUGAUGUUUUCUUUUGUCUAUUGAUUUAGAUUUUAAACAACUUAUUAUUCAUGGAUUUAUUAUUUGGAUUUUGAUUGUGCUAUCUAGUAAUACAUGCAGUGUUGUAGAUUUUUUUCCCAUUGGGACCAUCAUCUUAGCAUGGGAAUGACCUACCACCUUCAUUGCAGAUAUAAACGGGAAUGGAAUGAAUAGACUUGAAAGAAAUAAAUUGAACGAUAUAUUAAAUAUUUGAAAACAA
Molecule: long non-coding RNA, 965 nt
Organism: Mytilus trossulus (common blue mussel)
Lineage: Eukaryota; Metazoa; Mollusca; Bivalvia; Mytilida; Mytilidae
Exons: 4
Source: RefSeq, a predicted model, not a curated record